This 1005-nucleotide ribosomal RNA is filed under the name Leuconostoc mesenteroides. Its description in RNAcentral is "bacterial SSU rRNA". It matches the Rfam family "Bacterial small subunit ribosomal RNA", at positions 442 to 1439 of the family's 1533-position model. The record is from RNAcentral. Lineage: Bacteria; Bacillati; Bacillota; Bacilli; Lactobacillales; Lactobacillaceae.
GGGAAGAACAGCUAGAAUAGGAAAUGAUUUUAGUUUGACGGUACCAUACCAGAAAGGGACGGCUAAAUACGUGCCAGCAGCCGCGGUAAUACGUAUGUCCCGAGCGUUAUCCGGAUUUAUUGGGCGUAAAGCGAGCGCAGACGGUUUAUUAAGUCUGAUGUGAAAGCCCGGAGCUCAACUCCGGAAUGGCAUUGGAAACUGGUUAACUUGAGUGCAGUAGAGGUAAGUGGAACUCCAUGUGUAGCGGUGGAAUGCGUAGAUAUAUGGAAGAACACCAGUGGCGAAGGCGGCUUACUGGACUGCAACUGACGUUGAGGCUCGAAAGUGUGGGUAGCAAACAGGAUUAGAUACCCUGGUAGUCCACACCGUAAACGAUGAACACUAGGUGUUAGGAGGUUUCCGCCUCUUAGUGCCGAAGCUAACGCAUUAAGUGUUCCGCCUGGGGAGUACGACCGCAAGGUUGAAACUCAAAGGAAUUGACGGGGACCCGCACAAGCGGUGGAGCAUGUGGUUUAAUUCGAAGCAACGCGAAGAACCUUACCAGGUCUUGACAUCCUUUGAAGCUUUUAGAGAUAGAAGUGUUCUCUUCGGAGACAAAGUGACAGGUGGUGCAUGGUCGUCGUCAGCUCGUGUCGUGAGAUGUUGGGUUAAGUCCCGCAACGAGCGCAACCCUUAUUGUUAGUUGCCAGCAUUCAGAUGGGCACUCUAGCGAGACUGCCGGUGACAAACCGGAGGAAGGCGGGGACGACGUCAGAUCAUCAUGCCCCUUAUGACCUGGGCUACACACGUGCUACAAUGGCGUAUACAACGAGUUGCCAACCCGCGAGGGUGAGCUAAUCUCUUAAAGUACGUCUCAGUUCGGAUUGUAGUCUGCAACUCGACUACAUGAAGUCGGAAUCGCUAGUAAUCGCGGAUCAGCACGCCGCGGUGAAUACGUUCCCGGGUCUUGUACACACCGCCCGUCACACCAUGGGAGUUUGUAAUGCCCAAAGCCGGUGGCCUAAC